UACGGGGGGGGCAAGCGUUGUUCGGAAUUACUGGGCGUAAAGGGCUCGUAGGUGGCCAACUAAGUCAGACGUGAAAUCCCUCGGCUUAACCGGGGAACUGCGUCUGAUACUGGAUGGCUUGAGUUUGGGAGAGGGACGCGGAAUUCCAGGUGUAGCGGUGAAAUGCGCAGAUAUCAGGAGGAACACCGGUGGCGAAGGCGGGUCUCUGGGCAGUAACUGACGCUGAGGAGCGAAAGCGUGGGGAGCGAACAGG
Molecule: ribosomal RNA, 253 nt
Filed under: uncultured bacterium
Lineage: Bacteria
Description: partial 16S ribosomal RNA
Rfam family: Bacterial small subunit ribosomal RNA
Source: RNAcentral